GACGAACGCUGGCGGCGUGCUUAACACAUGCAAGUCGAACGGAAAGGCCCUGCUUUUGUGGGGUGCUCGAGUGGCGAACGGGUGAGUAACACGUGAGUAACCUGCCCUUGACUUUGGGAUAACUUCAGGAAACUGGGGCUAAUACCGGAUAGGAGCUCCUGCUGCAUGGUGGGGGUUGGAAAGUUUCGGCGGUUGGGGAUGGACUCGCGGCUUAUCAGCUUGUUGGUGGGGUAGUGGCUUACCAAGGCUUUGACGGGUAGCCGGCCUGAGAGGGUGACCGGCCACAUUGGGACUGAGAUACGGCCCAGACUCCUACGGGAGGCAGCAGUGGGGAAUAUUGCACAAUGUGCGGAAGCCUGAUGCAGCAACGCCGCGUGCGGGAUGACGGCCUUCGGGCUGUAAACCGCUUUCGCCUGUGACGAAGCGUGAGUGACGGUAAUGGGUAAAGAAGCACCGGCUAACUACGUG
Molecule: ribosomal RNA, 468 nt
Filed under: uncultured bacterium
Lineage: Bacteria
Description: partial 16S ribosomal RNA
Rfam family: Bacterial small subunit ribosomal RNA
Source: RNAcentral